CCACAACUAGCUCAGUCGGUAGAGCAUGAGACUCUUAAUCUCAGGGUUGUAGG
Molecule: transfer RNA, 53 nt
Filed under: Mus musculus (house mouse)
Lineage: Eukaryota; Metazoa; Chordata; Mammalia; Rodentia; Muridae
Rfam family: tRNA
About the family: Transfer RNA (tRNA) molecules are approximately 80 nucleotides in length. Their secondary structure includes four short double-helical elements and three loops (D, anti-codon, and T loops). Further hydrogen bonds mediate the characteristic L-shaped molecular structure. tRNAs have two regions of fundamental functional importance: the anti-codon, which is responsible for specific mRNA codon recognition, and the 3' end, to which the tRNAs corresponding amino acid is attached (by aminoacyl-tRNA synthetases). tRNAs cope with the degeneracy of the genetic code in two manners: having more than one tRNA (with a specific anti-codon) for a particular amino acid; and 'wobble' base-pairing, i.e. permitting non-standard base-pairing at the 3rd anti-codon position.
Source: Rfam by way of RNAcentral